CGCCUCGGUGGCCAGGUCGAGCGCGGCGGUCGCCUCGUCGAGCAGCAGCACGUCCGGAUCGACCAGUUCGGCCCGGGCCAGGGCGA
This 86-nucleotide transfer RNA is filed under the name Streptomyces spongiicola. RNAcentral's name for it is "tRNA-Ala". Lineage: Bacteria; Bacillati; Actinomycetota; Actinomycetes; Kitasatosporales; Streptomycetaceae. The record is from RNAcentral.